GAUGAACGCUAGCGGCAGGCUUAAUACAUGCAAGUCGUGGGGCAGCAGGGGUGUAGCAAUACAUCUGCUGGCGACCGGCAAACGGGUGCGUAACACGUACGCAACCUUCCCGUUACUGUGGCAUAGCCCAGGGAAACUUGGAUUAAUACCACAUAUUAUAUAGAGGGGGCAUCUCCUUUAUAUCAAAGCUUCGGCGGUAACGGAUGGGCGUGCGGUUGAUUAGGUAGUUGGCGGGGUAACGGCCCACCAAGCCUACGAUCAAUAGCUGAUGUGAGAGCAUGAUCAGCCACACGGGCACUGAGACACGGGCCCGACUCCUACGGGUGGCUG
This 330-nucleotide ribosomal RNA is filed under the name uncultured Bacteroidota bacterium. Its description in RNAcentral is "bacterial SSU rRNA". It matches the Rfam family "Bacterial small subunit ribosomal RNA", at positions 28 to 351 of the family's 1533-position model. Lineage: Bacteria; Pseudomonadati; Bacteroidota. The record is from RNAcentral.